Myotis brandtii (Brandt's bat) is the source of this 75-nucleotide non-coding RNA. NCBI's taxonomy places the organism in Eukaryota, Metazoa, Chordata, Mammalia, Chiroptera, Vespertilionidae. The record is from Rfam.
GGCAGUUCUCAGGUGACGCACCCUGGAAUCGGGCUCCCUCUUCUCUGGUUCUGGGUGCAUCCCCCAAGAACCGCA